UACAGAGGUGGCAAGCGUUGCUCGGUAUCACUGGGCUUAAAGGGCGCGUAGGCGGUGCGGUACGGUUUCGGUGAAAUCCCUCGGCCCAACCGAGGAACAGCCGGGGCUACGGCCGCGCUCGACGGCAUCAGGGGACAGUGGAACUCCCGGUGGAGCGGUGAAAUGCGUAGAUAUCGGGAGGAACGCCGGUGGCGAAAGCGACUGUCUGGGGUGCCUGUGACGCUGAGGCGCGAAAGCGUGGGGAGCGAACAGG
RNAcentral lists this ribosomal RNA (253 nucleotides) under uncultured bacterium. Its description in RNAcentral is "partial 16S ribosomal RNA". It matches the Rfam family "Bacterial small subunit ribosomal RNA", at positions 524 to 776 of the family's 1533-position model. The record is from RNAcentral.